AGAAACUGCUAACUAACAGCCUGUUCCACGAUGUCGAAAGAACACGUUCGCACAACUUUUACACGACAAACAGCUGAUUUCCGUUCCACUAAAAUCCAUCAGAACGAAAAUUUGCACGAAAAUCAAAGCGAACGAAAACGUAAGCGUUUCAGUGUAAUUUUGCGUUCCACUAUCUUUUUUCUUUCGUACGCAUGCGAACACAAAUGUCAAAAUCAGUCACUUGUGUGUUUGCUGUCGAAUGAUAAAAAUUAAGGAAAAUUGUUUUAACAUAAACAUUCCUUGAUUGAAAAUGGAAAGAAAAAUCACGAAAAAACUACACAGCUGCGGGCACUAGUUGAGUAUAUGGGGGAGAAUCCUAAGUUCGGCAGAGGAGUGCCAAUUUUUGGAAGCAGCAGGCAAUCCCAUGAAGACCACUGGAAGACCCAAACCUAGAAAAAAUCAUUUUUUUAUUAUUUCAAAAAUGUAAAAAUACAAUCAUACUUACUGGUUGUUAGGUACUUCAAAUAAAUUCGAAGCAUCUCUUAAA
Musca domestica (house fly) is the source of this 526-nucleotide long non-coding RNA. RefSeq lists it as uncharacterized. NCBI's taxonomy places the organism in Eukaryota, Metazoa, Arthropoda, Insecta, Diptera, Muscidae. The transcript has 2 exons. The record is from RefSeq and is a predicted model, not a curated record.